Molecule: ribosomal RNA, 1211 nt
Filed under: uncultured bacterium
Lineage: Bacteria
Description: bacterial SSU rRNA
Rfam family: Bacterial small subunit ribosomal RNA
Source: RNAcentral
CCGCAUCCAUCAUGUGAAACUGAGGAAACUCGGUUCAACUUCUACCGGAGGCAGCAGUAGGAUUCGGUCAAUGACGAGAGUCUGACAAGCAGUAGCGUGCAGGAUGACGGCCCUAUGGAUGUAAACUGCUUUAUGCGGGAUAAAGUGAGGGACGUGUCCUCAUUGCAGGUACCGCAUGAAUAGGACCGGCUAUCCGUGCCAGCAGCCGCCGGUAAUACGGAAGGUCCAGGCGUAUCCGGAUUUAUUGGGUUUAAAGGGAGCCGUAGGCCGUGGAUAAGCGUGUGUGAAAUGUAGGCGCUCAACGUCUGACUUGCAGCGCGAACUGGUCCACUUGAGUGUGCACAACGCAGGCGGAAUUCGUCGUGUAGCGGUGAAAUGCUUAGAUAUGACGAAGAACCCCGAUUGCGAAGGCAGCUUGCGGGAGCACGACUGACGCUGAAGCUCGAAAGUGCGGGUAUCGAACAGGAUUAGAUACCCUGGUAGUCCGCACGGUAAACGAUGGAUGCCCGUUGUCAGGCUGUAUCAGUCUGGUGACCAAGCGAAAGCAUUAAGCAUCCCACCUGGGGAGUACGCCGGCAACGGUGAAACUCAAAGGAAUUGACGGGGGCCCGCACAAGCGGAGGAACAUGUGGUUUAAUUCGAUGAUACGCGAGGAACCUUACCCGGGCUUGAAUUGCCGGCGAACGAUACAGAGAUGUUGAGGCCCUUCGGGGCGCCGGUGAAGGUGCUGCAUGGUUGUCGUCAGCUCGUGCCGUGAGGUGUCGGCUUAAGUGCCAUAACGAGCGCAACCCCUAUUCUCGGUUGCCAUCGGGUAAUGCCGGGCACUCCGUGGAGACUGCCACCGUAAGGUGUGAGGAAGGUGGGGACGACGUCAAAUCAGCACGGCCCUUACGUCCGGGGCUACACACGUGUUACAAUGGCCGGUACAGCGAGUCGGCCGCAUGCAAAUGCGGUCCAAUCCUGAAAGCCGGUCCCAGUUCGGACUGAGGUCUGCAACCCGACCUCACGAAGCUGGAUUCGCUAGUAAUCGCGCAUCAGCCAUGGCGCGGUGAAUACGUUCCCGGGCCUUGUACACACCGCCCGUCAAGCCAUGAAAGCCGGGGGUGCCUGAAGUUCGUAACCGCGAGGAGCGACCUAGGGCAAAACUGGUGAUUGGGGCUAAGUCGUAACAAGGUAGCCGUACCGGAAGGUGCGGCUGGAACACCUCCUUC